RNAcentral lists this long non-coding RNA (332 nucleotides) under Ananas comosus (pineapple). RNAcentral describes it as "long non-coding RNA (ACOM_LNC035717)". The record is from RNAcentral. Lineage: Eukaryota; Viridiplantae; Streptophyta; Magnoliopsida; Poales; Bromeliaceae.
CUAUUAACAUUCAUUAUAUAUAGAGAGAGUUCAGCUCAUGUGCUUUUAAAAGUAUAGAAAUAUUUAUUUUUGUGACUCUUUAGCUGUCUGAUAACUUCAUGAUUCGUGUAACACUAUUAAUAAUGUGUCCCAAUAAAUUCUCAUCUUGAGACGAUUCAAAGGCUAAAAAAUUAUAAACACGUCGUGCUUCUAUGCUCUUAAAAGCACAGGAGUAGAAUGAUCUAAGUACUGAAAAUGGUCAAAGGGAUAGAUUUAAUAGCAGAAAACCUGGCAGCACCAAGUGUUUGGUGUUAUUGAUACCAUUGUAGCUGGACUAUAUAUAUAUAUAUAGU